AUAUUUUUUUUGGGAGCCGAAUUCCUUAUCCUUACCUCGGUCAAAGAUCUCCCUCGACAAGCGUGCAGGAAUUUGGAACGGCUAUGAACAGUGACCCUCGAAGUUUGCGCCCAUCGACUGGAUCAAGCAAUUCGGCUGACGAGGGAUCGGAUCAGCCGAGUUCAAAGACUUUACUGUAGAUUCGGUUCGGCUAGAUGAGCCGAAUAUACGGACUAUACAAAAGCUAAGGUCUGCCGAUGAGCCGAAUUGAUAAAAACACAGCGUUUGGUCGGCCUAAAGAGCCGAAAACCCUUAAAUAUAUUGAAACUGGCUGGUGGAAAGAAAACAGGGAUCGACUGUGCCUGAUGGCAUACAGACUCGGUUGAUCUACUUAGGAACUAUUCUUAGGAAAAAAAGUAAAUACGGAAAAGUAAAAGUUACAAGUAGACUACUCCUAGGAAAUGCGAGAAAUUGUAAGGAAAAUAAGGGCGGUCUUCUAUUCACGAAAAAAAGACCUCUUUUUAGGACGUUAUUUGCUUAUUUAUAUAUCGCCCCCGUUGAUCAGUUAUUACCUAUCCAUGAUCGGCCACUAUUCCUUAAUUUUUCUGACCACUUUCAGCCGAUCGGAACCGCUUGCAACUGCUUGUGGUUGCAAUAACUUCCCUUAAAUCGUGCGGUUUAGGACUCUUUCGAUGCUCCUAGUAUAUAGCGCAUCAAUGAAGCUGAAUGGAGUACCGGUGUACCACAUGUCUGCGUCUUAUUGGCCCAACAAUUUUAUAUUAUUUUAUUAUCUUAAUUAUUAAUUAAAUAGAUUUAAGCAUAAAUAAUUGAGCUAGGCGGGUAUACUAUUGGUAGCACGGAGGCCUCCGUGUUACCAAGUUGUUUUCGAUGAUGCGGCUUCCAAAUCCACGAUCGGCUCCGUUAGACUUGAUCUACACUAUUAAAAGUAUUAUUAAAUUUUAUAAUUUUUCGACAUCAUUUGGCUAGUGAUCAACAGGUCUCAAAAUUGACAAUUUUAAUGAUAGAUGUGAUGCGUUUGUGAAUUUAACGGUGUAAUACAAUCCAAAUCUGAUGAAUUUUUUAGAGAAAAUUCUUUUUACUAUUUAGAGUAAGAUCAGUACUUCUGAUCUUAAAUUCAAGACUUUUAUCAUCAUUUUUUAUGAGAUUUUUAUUUUCAGCCGUUUAUUAUUAGACUACUUGUUUGAUAGGAAAUGAUGUCAAAAAAUUAUAAAAUUUAGUUUCUAAAUACUUUCAAUAGUGUAGAUCAACUCUAGCGGAGUCGAUCGUCGAUUUAGAAGCCGCAUCAUUGAAAACAACUUGAUAGCACGGAGGCCUCCGUGCUACCGAUAGUAUACCAGCCUAGCUCUAAAUAAUUUAUAAUUAAAAUAAUUAAAAUAAAAAUUAAUUUAAUUUGGUUCAUGUGCGGUAUAAAUUUUUAUAAGAACUAAUUGUUGACCUAGUGAUCCUAAUCUGCAACUAAAUUUCGAUGAUUACAAAUAAU
This 1480-nucleotide long non-coding RNA is filed under the name Ananas comosus (pineapple). Its description in RNAcentral is "long non-coding RNA (ACOM_LNC021219)". The record is from RNAcentral. Lineage: Eukaryota; Viridiplantae; Streptophyta; Magnoliopsida; Poales; Bromeliaceae.